GAUGAACGCUGGCGGCGUGCCUAAUACAUGCAAGUCGAGCGAACGGGCGAGAAGCUUGCUUCUCUGAUGUUAGCGGCGGACGGGUGAGUAACACGUGGAUAACCUACCUAUAAGACUGGGAUAACUUCGGGAAACCGGAGCUAAUACCGGAUGAUAUUUUGAACCGCAUGGUUCAAAAGUGAAAGACGGUCUUGCUGUCACUUAUAGAUGGAUCCGCGCUGCAUUAGCUAGUUGGUAAGGUAACGGCUUACCAAGGCAACGAUGCAUAGCCGACCUGAGAGGGUGAUCGGCCACACUGGAACUGAGACACGGUCCAGACUCCUACGGGAGGCAGCAGUAGGGAAUCUCCCGCAAUGGGCGAAAGCCUGACGGAGCAACGCCGCGUGAGUGAUGAAGGUCUUCGGAUCGUAAAACUCUGUUAUUAGGGAAGAACAUAUGUGUAAGUAACUGUGCACAUCUUGACGGUACCUAAUCAGAAAGCCACGGCUAACUACGUG
This 497-nucleotide ribosomal RNA is filed under the name uncultured bacterium. RNAcentral's name for it is "partial 16S ribosomal RNA". It matches the Rfam family "Bacterial small subunit ribosomal RNA", at positions 28 to 507 of the family's 1533-position model. The record is from RNAcentral.